GUGAGGAAUAUUGCGCAAUGGGCGAAAGCCUGACGCAGCAACGCCGCGUGGACGAUGAAGGCCUUCGGGUUGUAAAGUCCUUUUCUGGGGGAAGACACGGACGGUACCUCAGGAACAAGUGUCGGCUAACUACGUGCCAGCAGCCGCGGUAAAACGUAGGACGCGAGCGUUAUCCGGAUUUACUGGGCGUAAAGCGCGUGCAGGCGGCGGCUUAAGUCGUGCGUGAAAGCUCCCGGCUCAACCGGGAGAGGCCGUACGAAACUAAGCAGCUAGAGGGCAGCAGAGGCGUGUGGAAUUCCGGGUGUAGUGGUGAAAUGCGUAGAUAUCCGGAGGAACACCAGUGGCGAAGGCGACACGCUGGGCUGUACCUGACGCUAAGACGCGAAAGCGUGGGUAGCGAACGGGAUUAGAUACCCUGGUAGUCC
This 425-nucleotide ribosomal RNA is filed under the name uncultured bacterium. RNAcentral's name for it is "bacterial SSU rRNA". It matches the Rfam family "Bacterial small subunit ribosomal RNA", at positions 354 to 796 of the family's 1533-position model. The record is from RNAcentral.